GAUGAACGCUGGCGGCGUGCUUAACACAUGCAAGUCGAACGAUGAAGCCCAGCUUGCUGGGUGGAUUAGUGGCGAACGGGUGAGUAACACGUGAGUAACCUGCCCCCGACUCUGGGAUAAGCCCGGGAAACUGGGUCUAAUACCGGAUAUGACCUCGCGCCGCAUGGUGCGGGGUGGAAAGAUUUAUCGGUGGGGGAUGGACUCGCGGCCUAUCAGCUUGUUGGUGAGGUAAUGGCUCACCAAGGCGACGACGGGUAGCCGGCCUGAGAGGGUGACCGGCCACACUGGGACGGAGACACGGCCCAGACUCCUACGGGAGGCAGCAGUGGGGAAUAUUGCACAAUGGGCGCAAGCCUGAUGCAGCAACGCCGCGUGAGGGAUGACGGCCUUCGGGUUGUAAACCUCUUUCAGCAGGGAAGAAGCGAAAGUGACGGUACCUGCAGAAGAAGCACCGGCUAACUACGUGCCAGCCGCCGCGGUAA
This 482-nucleotide ribosomal RNA is filed under the name uncultured bacterium. RNAcentral's name for it is "partial 16S ribosomal RNA". It matches the Rfam family "Bacterial small subunit ribosomal RNA", at positions 28 to 523 of the family's 1533-position model. The record is from RNAcentral.